Molecule: non-coding RNA, 72 nt
Organism: Oreochromis niloticus (Nile tilapia)
Lineage: Eukaryota; Metazoa; Chordata; Actinopteri; Cichliformes; Cichlidae
Source: Rfam
GCCGUGAUCGUAUAGUGGUUAGUACGCUGCGUUGUGGCCGCAGCAAACCCGGUUAGAAUCCGGAUCACAGCA